RNAcentral lists this ribosomal RNA (467 nucleotides) under uncultured bacterium. RNAcentral describes it as "partial 16S ribosomal RNA". It matches the Rfam family "Bacterial small subunit ribosomal RNA", at positions 28 to 506 of the family's 1533-position model. The record is from RNAcentral.
GACGAACGCUGGCGGCGUGCUUAACACAUGCAAGUCGAACGGAAAGGCCCUGCUUUUGUGGGGUGCUCGAGUGGCGAACGGGUGAGUAACACGUGAGUAACCUGCCCUUGACUUUGGGAUAACUUCAGGAAACUGGGGCUAAUACCGGAUAGGAGCUCCUGCUGCAUGGUGGGGGUUGGAAAGUUUCGGCGGUUGGGGAUGGACUCGCGGCUUAUCAGCUUGUUGGUGGGGUAGUGGCUUACCAAGGCUUUGACGGGUAGCCGGCCUGAGAGGGUGACCGGCCACAUUGGGACUGGGAUACGGCCCAGACUCCUACGGGAGGCAGCAGUGGGGAAUAUUGCACAAGGGGCGGAAGCCUGAUGCAGAAACGCCGCGUGCGGGAUGACGGCCUUCGGGUUGUAAACCGCUUUCGCCUGUGACGAAGCGUGAGUGACGGUAAUGGGUAAAGAAGCACCGGCUAACUACGU